Molecule: transfer RNA, 79 nt
Filed under: Raineyella antarctica
Lineage: Bacteria; Bacillati; Actinomycetota; Actinomycetes; Propionibacteriales; Propionibacteriaceae
Description: tRNA_Gln_TTG
Rfam family: tRNA
About the family: Transfer RNA (tRNA) molecules are approximately 80 nucleotides in length. Their secondary structure includes four short double-helical elements and three loops (D, anti-codon, and T loops).
Source: RNAcentral
UCCCCGGUUGGUCUGCCGGCAGGGCCCGCCUGACUUUGAAUCAGGAUCAGCGACAGUGGUUCGACUCCACUCCGGGGAG